UAAAGUGAAAACUGACGUGAAAUCC
RNAcentral lists this non-coding RNA (25 nucleotides) under Rattus norvegicus (Norway rat). Lineage: Eukaryota; Metazoa; Chordata; Mammalia; Rodentia; Muridae. The record is from RNAcentral.